GUGAGGAAUUUUCUGCAAUGGGCGAAAGCCUGACAGAGCAAUACCGCGUGAGGGAGGAAGGCCUACGGGUUGUAAACCUCUUUUCUCAAGGAGGAAGAUAUGACGUUACUUGAGGAAUAAGCAUCGGCUAACCCUGUGCCAGCAGCCGCGGUAAUACAGGGGAUGCAAGUGUUAUCCGGAAUUAUUGGGCGUAAAGCGUCUGCAGGUGGACUUUUAAGUCUUUUGUUAAAGCUCUGGGCUUAACCUGGAAUAUGCAAAGGAAACUAUUGGUCUAGAGUAUGGUAGGGGUAAAGGGAAUUUCCAGUGGAGCGGUGAAAUGCUUAGAUAUUGGAAAGAACACCGAUGGCGAAGGCACUUUACUGGGCCAGUACUGACACUGAGAGACGAAAGCUAGGGGAGCAAACGGGAUUAGAAACCCGAGUAGUCC
RNAcentral lists this ribosomal RNA (427 nucleotides) under uncultured bacterium. Its description in RNAcentral is "partial 16S ribosomal RNA". It matches the Rfam family "Bacterial small subunit ribosomal RNA", at positions 354 to 796 of the family's 1533-position model. The record is from RNAcentral.